GCCCUACGGGGGGCAGCAGUGAGGAAUAUUGGUCAAUGGGCGCGCGCCUGAACCAGCCAAGUCGCGUGGGGGAAGACGGUCCUAUGGAUUGUAAACCUCUUUUGUCGGGGAGCAAAAGACGCCACGCGUGGCGUUCCGAGAGUACCCGAAGAAAAAGCAUCGGCUAACUCCGUGCCAGCAGCCGCGGUAAUACGGAGGAUGCGAGCGUUAUCCGGAUUUAUUGGGUUUAAAGGGUGCGCAGGCGGAAGAUCAAGUCAGCGGUAAAAAUGCGGUGCUCAACGCCGUCGAGCCGUUGAAACUGGCGU
This 305-nucleotide ribosomal RNA is filed under the name uncultured bacterium. Its description in RNAcentral is "bacterial SSU rRNA". It matches the Rfam family "Bacterial small subunit ribosomal RNA", at positions 335 to 639 of the family's 1533-position model. The record is from RNAcentral.